This 253-nucleotide ribosomal RNA is filed under the name uncultured bacterium. Its description in RNAcentral is "partial 16S ribosomal RNA". It matches the Rfam family "Bacterial small subunit ribosomal RNA", at positions 524 to 776 of the family's 1533-position model. The record is from RNAcentral.
UACGUAGGGUGCGAGCGUUGUCCGGAAUUAUUGGGCGUAAAGAGCUCGUAGGCGGUUUGUUGCGUCUAUCGUGAAAACCUGCAGCUUAACUGUGGGCUUGCGGUGGAUACGGGCAGACUUGAGUUCGGUAGGGGAGACUGGAAUUCCUGGUGUAGCGGUGAAAUGCGCAGAUAUCAGGACGAACACCCGUGGCGAAGGCGGUUCUCUGGGACGGUACUGACGCUGAGACGCGAAAGCGUGGGGAGCGAACAGG